AUUGGACGCUGGCGGCAUGCUUUACACAUGCAAGUCGAACGGUAACAGGUUAAGCUGACGAGUGGCGAACGGGUGAGUAAUGCAUCGGAACGUGCCCGGUCGUGGGGGAUAACGCAGCGAAAGCUGCGCUAAUACCGCAUACGAUCUGAGGAUGAAAGCGGGGGACCGUAAAGCCUCGCGCGAUCGGAGCGGCCGAUGUCAGAUUAGGUAGUUGGUGGGGUAAAGGCUCACCAAGCCAACGAUCUGUAGCUGGUCUGAGAGGACGACCAGCCACACUGGGACUGAGACACGGCGCAGACUCCUACGGGAGGCAACAGUGGGGAAUUUUGGACAAUGGGCGAAAGCCUGAUCCAGCAAUGCCGCGUGCAGGAAGAAGGCCUUCGGGUUGUAAACUGCUUUUGUACGGAGCGAAAAGGUCUCCUCUAAUACAGGGGGCUCAUGACGGUACCGUAAGAAUAAGCACCGGCUAACUACGUGCCAGCCGCCGCCGUAA
RNAcentral lists this ribosomal RNA (493 nucleotides) under uncultured bacterium. RNAcentral describes it as "partial 16S ribosomal RNA". It matches the Rfam family "Bacterial small subunit ribosomal RNA", at positions 30 to 523 of the family's 1533-position model. The record is from RNAcentral.